Molecule: long non-coding RNA, 2401 nt
Organism: Laticauda laticaudata (blue-ringed sea krait)
Lineage: Eukaryota; Metazoa; Chordata; Lepidosauria; Squamata; Elapidae
Source: Ensembl
GGGCCAACCAAGAGCUAGAGGGCGCGGCCUACAUGCAAAUCUAAGCACAGAUAUUACUGAUUGAAGGAGAGGCAGAUGAUAGGCUGGGUUAUGGAAAGGAGGGCGUUGUUAUCUCGGAUCUGUCGUCUAGCUUCCGAAGCUUCAUUUAGCUCCGCCCUACCAUUUAAAAGUCGCGGCGCCUGCGCAGUGGAUGGAAAUGAGGACUUAGUCUGUUACACAACCGACUGGGCUGUUUUGGGAGCUGUGGUUUCCCUUUGGCUUCACGUCCUUCCCUCUCUCGGGUUUUUCUUGCUUACGAUCGUGGUAAAGGCAUGAGUGGGGAUCAGCUGCAUAACGACUCCCAGGUACGGGGGAGGGCUCUCUUUUUUCUAGCAGUUAAUGGGAAGAAAGAAAAGGCUGUGGACGUUGAGGCCUUUCCCCUAUCCCCAUUUGAGGGAAAAAGUGGAGGGUUUCUGAUGGUGGAGAAGAAGAAAAAUAUUGAUCCAGGUUUCCGAGCGAAUGAUUCGCACAAACAUAAAGAUAAACACAAAGACCGAGAACAUCGACACAAAGAGCACAAGAAGGAUAAAGACAGAGAAAAAUCCAAGCACAGUAAUAGUGAACACAAAGAGUUUUCUGAGAAAAAACACAAAGAGAAGGAGAAAACCAAACAUAAAGAUGGUAGUUCAGAAAAACAUGACAAACACAAAGACAAACACAAAGAUAGGGAGAAGGAGAAGCGAAAGGAAGAAAAGGUACAGUAUACUAUGAUGGAUAUAUUACUUCUUUGGAUUGUACUUUUGUCAGGGAUAAAGCCACACUCUGUUUUCAGUAUUGACUACAAGCCUAAGAAGAUUAAAACUGAAGAUGUAAAAAAAUCAAAAAAACGAAAACAGGAAGAUGAAGAGGAGAGUAAACCGAAGAAAAUAAAAAGCAAAGAUAAGAAGCCCCCAGAAGGAGAAAUGAAAAAGAAAAAAACAAAAAAAGAAGAGGAACAGAAAUGGAAAUGGUGGGAAGAAGAACGCUAUCCUGAAGGUAUUAAAUGGAAAUUCUUGGAGCACAAGGGUCCUGUGUUUGCUCCUGCAUAUGAACCGUUGCCUGAAAAUGUCAAAUUCUACUAUGAUGGUAAAGUCAUGAAACUCCGUCCCAAAGCAGAAGAGGUUGCAACUUUUUUUGCAAAAAUGCUUGAUCAUGAGUACACUACAAAGGAUAUCUUCAGGAAAAACUUCUUUAAAGACUGGAGAAAGGAAAUGACUCCAGAAGAAAAGGGAACUAUCACCAGCCUUAGCAAAUGUGACUUUGGUCAUAUGAGUCAGUAUUUCAAGGCCCAAACAGAAGCUAGAAAGCAAAUGACCAAGGAAGAAAAGCAGAAAAUUAAAGAAGAGAAUGAGCGGUUAUUAAAAGAAUAUGGUUAUUGUGUCAUGGAUAACCAUAAGGAAAGAAUUGCCAACUUUAAGAUUGAGCCUCCAGGUCUCUUCAGAGGACGUGGCAAUCACCCCAAAAUGGGCAUGCUGAAGCGAAGAAUAAUGCCUGAAGACAUCAUCAUCAAUUGUAGCAAGGAUUCUAAAGUCCCUCCCCCUCCCCCUGGCCAUAAAUGGAAAGAGGUUCGACAUGAUAACAAAGUAACCUGGCUAGUAUCAUGGACUGAGAAUAUUCAAGGAUCUAUUAAAUAUAUCAUGUUGAAUCCCAGCUCAAGAAUCAAGGGUGAGAAAGACUGGCAGAAAUACGAGACAGCUCGGAGAUUGAAGAAAUGUGUAGAUAGGAUUCGAAAUCAAUAUCGAGAAGACUGGAAAUCCAAAGAGAUGAAAGUGCGGCAAAGGGCUGUGGCACUGUACUUCAUUGAUAAACUUGCUCUGAGAGCUGGCAAUGAGAAAGAAGAAGGGGAGACUGCUGACACAGUGGGCUGUUGCUCCCUCCGUGUGGAACAUAUUAAUUUGCAUCCAGAAUUAGAUGGUCAGGAAUAUGUAGUAGAAUUUGAUUUCCUCGGAAAAGACUCCAUAAGAUACUAUAACAAAGUACCUGUUGAGAAAAGGGUAUUUAAGAAUCUUCAGUUAUUUAUGGAAAAUAAGCAGCCAGAAGAUGAUUUAUUUGAUAGGCUUAAUGUGAGUAUCUUCUUUUCCUACAUUUGAAAGCUGUAUGAACUACUCUAAACUUGAAAGGAUGUUUCUUAAACUUUCUUCUGUGAAAUUAAUACCUAUUGGCUGUUCUGGUAUGGCUUGGAAUAAGAGAGCCAGUUUGACCUAGUGGUUAAGGCACCAUGCUAGAAACUAGGAGACUAUGAUUUCUAGUCUUGCCUUAGGCAUGAAAGCCAGCUGGAUGACUUUGGGCCAAUUACCCUCUUUCAGCUCAACUUUACUCCACAGGGUUGUUGUUGCGGGAAAAUAGGAGGAGGAAGGAGUAAUAAAUAGGUUCACCACUUUCA